This 224-nucleotide ribosomal RNA is filed under the name uncultured bacterium. RNAcentral's name for it is "partial 16S ribosomal RNA". It matches the Rfam family "Bacterial small subunit ribosomal RNA", at positions 15 to 229 of the family's 1533-position model. The record is from RNAcentral.
GAUCCUGCUCAGGACGAACGCUGGCGGCAUGCCUAACACAUGCAAGUCGAACGGAGAUUACUUCGGUAAUCUUAGUGGCGAACGGGUGAGUAACGCGUGGGCAACCUGCCCUCUAGAUGGGGACAACAUCCCGAAAGGGGUGCUAAUACCGAAUGUGACAGCAAUCUCGCAUGAGGAUGCUGUGAAAGAUGGCCUCUAUUUAUAAGCUAUCGCUAGAGGAUGGG